CCUUCUCUAAAAAUCUGAAGUUUAUUCAUUAGAAUUCGGUGAAAGGAACAUUCAGUUUAAAACACAGUCAGUACAUUAAAAAGUCGAGAGGAUGAGUAGCAACGAGACCAGAACAGAACAGAACAGCCCCGAACCUGGCACCUGGCAGGGCACAGGGCAACACACAGCAGGGCCAGAUGGGGCUCCCUGCACAGCCACGAUGGGGACAGAGGGACAGAGCUGGGGCUGUGCAGCUUCAUGGGCUCCCCUCAGUUCCUAUGUGCUGCGUGCACUGUGGGCCCUGGGAUCAGCUGCCAGGAGAGCUGCCAUCCCACCCCGCUCCAUCCUAAGGAACCCCAACAGUGCCUGUUUGUUAAGAGCUGCUGAAUUAAAGGACACAACAAUCCUUGUAGAGCCCAACAUUUCAGCCUGGAACUGCCACCUCCGCUGCUGUUGGCUCAGGGGAGGGGGGUUGGGGGAAGAAGGGACAAAUCUGCUUUCAGCUUUCCAGCAUUUCUUUUUGCACAUGAGCGCUGGGCAUUGUUCUCUGCUCAGCUCAUCAUCACAACCUUCUGCAGACCCCUAAAUUCAAGGCAAUGUUGUUCCACUCGUUUCCACAGCAGCCAGCAGCACCUUCAAGCCCUGUAAUGGCUGAAGGGGACUGAGGAGAGCCCGGUUUGGGACAACAUAAUUGAAGCACACAGAAGGGAAAGCCCCAGCUGAAAUCCACACGGGUUGGGUGUUCGUUUCAAGACAACCAACAAUACUUUCAGGGGAAAAAAAAAAAAUCACCACGGUGCACAAAUCCAAAACAAAGCUAAGAAACGAGGUGACAAGAGUGACAAACCAGUAUCAAAACAGACGUCCUGGCGGUGUCCACACAGAGCGUGCAGUGGCAGUGGAUUGGCUUCUUGUUUCCAGAGCUGCUCCUUUAGAUGACGCUGAACAUCACUCUGCACGGGGCUGUGGGGAGCAACGUGGGUCUCUUGCAUUGCACAGGCAGUGGCAGCAGCAGUGACAGCAAUAAACUGCUGUUUCUCCAUCAGAACUGUAAACCGCACCGUUUUGGAAACGCAUAACGUACGUAAGUAAAAGAACAGUCCGUAAAAUUUCCCCCAUGAAUAUAAAAUGCAAAACUAUACAAAAAUAGAUAAAAUCGACCGUUUUUCUUAUGUGUAUAUAUAAAAAAAAAUCAAACAAACAAAGUCCCCAAAACGCAAUACAGAGCUACUUGGUAGGCUGACCUGCUCAGAGGUUGAUGGGCAGCAAACAGCUCCAACCCACCUCUCCAAGGCUUUCCCUGGAUGCACUGAGCUCCAUGAGGUUUGGGGGGUGUUCCUCCGUACCUCAGCCAAAGCUACUCACUCCGAGCCAUGGGCCUCAUUUCUGUCUCAGCAGACCUCUUCUGCUCUCAAGUUGGGGUUCCUUAGGUAUGUCUAUAUAUUAUCAGGUUAGGAGACAAUGGCAUGAGGCAGAAAUGAGAAGCUGCAGCCCUUGGUGAGCGGUCUGACUGCGUCUAGCUCCAACGUGGUCCAAGGACUCUGGUGGGAAAUUCCUCCAUCACAUUUUUAGGAAAAUCAUGCUCAUUAUGAGGUCAGCAUUGGUCAAAGAGCUCCAAGAGCUCACAACCCAUAAGGGUGUCCUCCCAGGCCUCCACCCCAUACCACAGAGCAGCCAUGGGGUCCCACUCAGUGGGACGAUAACUUGCUCUAAGCACUCCCUAUGACACCAGAUCCUCUUCUGUUUGGCUUCAACAAAGGCUGGCCACUAAGCAUUCCCAGUCAUCAAUAAACAGCCUGACAUACAAGGACCAGACAGCAAAAAUCCUCAUCUCAACAAGAAAUAAUAAGACCCAUUUUGCUUAAGAAAACAAAACAGAAAAGCUCUUCAUGCCUCGGUACCCUACAACUGCAGCAACACCAGGGAGCUGCCCACAUUUCUGACCACAGCCACACGUGUACCUGGGCUGCAGGUGUGGGCAGCAGGCAGUGAGCUGCUCUGGGGCAGGACUCCGCUCCAAGCCAGCACCAAGCUGAGCCCUGCCAUCCCCACAGCAUGCCAGGCUUUGGAGAAGGGCAUCAUUGCACUAUUUCCAGUUUGUGAUGUAUUUAACCUUACAACCUUUGCUGCAAAGAGAAGCAGAAAAUAGGCAACUCGGGUAAAAGAAAACCUAAUUCAUCGGUAAUGAAAUUACAAUCAGUUGGACAGAAGUAGGAAGAAGUUUUGUAAACCACAAGAAAGGGACUCAUAGAAUAUCCCGAGUUGGAAGGGGCCCCUACAGAUCAUCAAAUCAGACUCCUGGCUCCACAAAGGACCACCCAAAAAUCAGACCUGUGUCUCAGAGCCAGACACUUGUUGAACUCUCAGCUCUCAGCCAUGCCCACCACCUUCUUGGUGCCCUGCCUAUGUUUUCUGAAGAGCUUGUAACCACCCACCACAGCACACCAGUCACAGGACUCUUCCCACCAGGUUUUGCUUAUACCAAUGAUGUUGUAGCUCUGGGACUGAGCCAAGGCUUCUAGUUCUUCUUGCUUGUCCCUUACACGGAGUGUGUUGGUGCAGAAGCAUUUCAGAUGCGCUUCAAAACCAGCACCUCGUGGAGCAGAAGGAAGGAUGUCAGUAGCACGCAGCCCCUCCAAUUGGGCUUCUCCCUUCAUCUUCAACACUGCCAGCUUGCACUACCAGAAGCGGGUAAUAACCAGAGGGCUGUACCAGACCAGAGAGUCAAUGACCCAGGCCCCAGGUUGGCAGCAGACUUCCUUGUGGGAAAGGGUCUGGUCAGCAUGCUGGGCCCUCAGUUCCACUCAGAACAGAGUCCCCUGUGACAACCACCCUUCUGUUCCUGGCAAAGGAAGUUUUGGUGUUUGUGGGUGACAGACACACUCUACAGAACCUCCUGGAUGGAUGUUCACCAACAUCCUCACCUGCCUUUCUUAAGUUCAAGAGCUGGAGCUGAUCAGCUCAAGGGAAGGUUUGGUUUAGAGAUUAACGUGCUGCAGAUCAACAAGGACACUGAGAACACCUUCAGGAAAGAUGCCAGCUCUGCUCUGCUAUCCUCUAACAGGUGUUUCCAAGAGCUCUGACAACCUCAGAUCGUUGGUCUCCUACGCUUGUGUUCCUUCUCCAUAUUUGUUCAAAAGAGGAAUUAAAAAAAGAAAAAGAAAAUCAAAAGCCUGCAGCAAUCUUCGGCAUUUUUGUUCCCUCCAGUUAGAAGGAAGAAGUUGUGAAGCCUAAUUUAGGCUGCGCUACAUCCUGUAUUCCAAGUAAUAGAAUACUUUGCUCGUAUGAGUUUAUGUAAAGAAAAUCAACACAAAAUGUAAAACAAAAAACAACACAGUGACUUUACAGCUACAGGCCCAAUGCAAAUUUAGCUUAUUUCACAGAAGUCGUACGCUUGCCCUUGGCCUGGGAGAGGCUUCAGCUGGAAAUAACACACCAUGAAGAGAGACCAUGGCAGAGAAAAGGGACUGACGCUUUGUUCUUGAAAGGGAAUCCAUCAAUAGAACAUCUCUCUGCAUGCUGUAUUCUUGAGCAAAUUAAAGUUAGAACUGGAAAACGUUAUCAACACGCACACAAAAACUUCUACUUCCCUUUUGGGCAGGAAAAGAGUUACAGCGCAGUUCCCCUUGCAGCUGAAUUGCCUCCUGUCCUCGCUCUCAAAAUAACCUGUGUCCUUCCUCUGCAGCUCCCCAGAUUAAGGACAAGAUGGAAGAUGUUAAAAGUUUGUUCAAAAAAA
Coturnix japonica (Japanese quail) is the source of this 3715-nucleotide non-coding RNA. The record is from RefSeq and is a predicted model, not a curated record. NCBI's taxonomy places the organism in Eukaryota, Metazoa, Chordata, Aves, Galliformes, Phasianidae.